Molecule: long non-coding RNA, 223 nt
Filed under: Lathyrus oleraceus (garden pea)
Lineage: Eukaryota; Viridiplantae; Streptophyta; Magnoliopsida; Fabales; Fabaceae
Description: Pisum sativum (pea) long non-coding RNA (PSAT_LNC014261)
Source: RNAcentral
AAAGUUUUGAUGGUGACGAUUGUUGGUAUUGUUGUUGUUGUUGUAAGUGUUUGUACGUUGUUGUGGUUGUUGUUGUUGACGUUGUUGUUGUUGAAUUCGUACUGAUUUAUUAUUCAAGAAUACAGGAAUGACUGAAGAUACUUGAUGAUGGUGUUGACGGGAUGGUUGAUUCCUUUUGAUCUGAGGCCUCCUCUGCCUCUCACUAGAAAUUGCAUUAGCUUCG